AUGAAUCCUCUAAACAAACAACAGGGAGCGAACGAUCAGGCAUACCUUGAGGCUCUCGACGACCCCCGGGACGACCUCGUGCUCGAGGCCCGAGUACUCGCCCUCGGUGUUCUCCCUGAUGACGACGAUGUCGACGUUCUGGUGCCUGGUGGGCAGGCCGGGGACGUUGGCGCAGUUGACGAGGGAGGCGAAGAGGUCGAGCUCCUUGCGGAGCUGCAUGUUGAGGGAGGAGACGCCCCCGCCGACGGGGGUGGCGAGGCCGCCCUUGAGGCAGACCUUGUUGCGGCGGAUGGACUCGAUGACGGCGGGGGGCACGGCGGGCAUGUCGCCGUGGACGUCGUAGGACUCGAAGUAGACGGGCGCGUGCAUCGCCUCCAUGACCUGCUCGACGGCGCCGGUGACGAGGGGCCCGAUGCCGUCGCCCGGGAUGAGCGUGACGGGACGCGGGGUGCCGUCGCCCGGGCGGGGCAUGUAGGUCACCGUGCGGCGCGCGCCGCCGCCGUGGCCCGGGAGGGGCGGCGCGGAGGAGACCAGGCGGCGGAGGAGCGGGGCGGAUCGCCGCGCCAUCGGGGGCUGGCUGGGGCUGCGGCUGCGGCGGGGCGAUGCGGAAUUGCGAUCCGGUAG
RNAcentral lists this ribosomal RNA (624 nucleotides) under Triticum aestivum (bread wheat). RNAcentral's name for it is "partial small subunit ribosomal RNA". The record is from RNAcentral. Lineage: Eukaryota; Viridiplantae; Streptophyta; Magnoliopsida; Poales; Poaceae.